This is a non-coding RNA of Schizosaccharomyces pombe (fission yeast), 900 nucleotides long. NCBI's taxonomy places the organism in Eukaryota, Fungi, Ascomycota, Schizosaccharomycetes, Schizosaccharomycetales, Schizosaccharomycetaceae. The record is from the annotation of a GenBank genome assembly.
AGUAUGUAGUGUCCAAAUAAACUUUAUGAAUGGUCUUCUCUCGUAAAACAGGAUGCAUAACGUGAUCCUUAGAAGCGCGGAAAUCUCCACAGUGAAGAACACGUCUUGUUUGAUUACUCUGAAGCGUUUCAAAAACAAACAUAGCUGAUCCUGGACAAUGAUUAGCAUCCAAAACAUAUACAGUAAUACCCAUUAUAUUAUAUGGUUGAUUUAGUUUGAGACGCUUCACAUAUUGUUCAUCAACAUGCAUGACAUUUAUUAAAAGAUUUCCUGUUACUUCUGAACAGUAAAUAGGACCGUGCUUCCAUUUUGGAGUUAAACCGCCAUAGUGAUCAGAAUGAAAGUGUGACAAAAAAUAAGCUUCAACACCAUCAAUGGCACCGUAAGCAAAUGCGUCAACGGCAAAAGGAAUAUUAUAAGGCAUUAAUUUAUAGAAAGGAACAACAGACCGAACAUUAAUUUGCUUUCCAGGUAAAGGUAAUAACGCCUGUUUACAGGAAUCAGAUAUUGGGAAUGUACUCGAAUUCGAAGGAUCGGCUUUAACGACAGAGUCUUUCUUCAGCUUUUUUGAAACAGCUUCCGUUGUUCUCCCGUCUAGGCAGUCAUUGACAUGUAUAUUGGCAUCGACAGUUAAAGACUCCAAAGUUAUUCCACAUAUUGGACAAAGAAGCAAUUCAGACAUGGUUGACUCCUCGUUUUUAACCAGCUCAUUUUUUAAAGGUUCUAAGAUGUUAGCAUCCCCAAAAGAUUGCCAUUGAGGAGACUCACCCACUUCAGAAGUGAAACUUGGAUCAUUGAAUUGUAAUAAGACUUCCUGUGAGAAUUUCUCAUUUUUUAUUUGGGAACUUGAAAUUGCAUUUUUUACUGUAGAGGGCUUGGUGGUGGAAUCAGUUUUUUCAA